RNAcentral lists this transfer RNA (72 nucleotides) under Alligator mississippiensis (American alligator). It matches the Rfam family "tRNA". Rfam says of the family: Transfer RNA (tRNA) molecules are approximately 80 nucleotides in length. Their secondary structure includes four short double-helical elements and three loops (D, anti-codon, and T loops). RNAcentral also lists the same sequence under 1 other name. Lineage: Eukaryota; Metazoa; Chordata; Crocodylia; Alligatoridae. The record is from Rfam by way of RNAcentral.
AGGGAUAUAGCUCAGUGGUAGAGCACCUGUUUUGCAUGUAUGGGGAUCUGGGUUUAAUUCCCAGGCUCUCCA